Molecule: ribosomal RNA, 602 nt
Filed under: uncultured Enterococcus sp.
Lineage: Bacteria; Bacillati; Bacillota; Bacilli; Lactobacillales; Enterococcaceae
Description: bacterial LSU rRNA
Rfam family: Bacterial large subunit ribosomal RNA
Source: RNAcentral
GUAGCGGCGAGCGAAACGGAACCAGCCCAAACCAACAAGCUUGCUUGUUGGGGUUGUAGGACUCAGCUGUGGUAGCUGUUGUAAGUAGUCGAAUGACCUGGAAAGGUCAGCCGUAGCGGGUAAAAGCCCCGUAGACGAAAUUGACAACACACCUAUGAGUAUCCUGAGUACGGCGGAACACGCGAAAUUCCGUCGGAAUCCGGGAGGACCAUCUCCCAAGGCUAAAUACUCUCUAGUGACCGAUAGUGAACCAGUACCGUGAGGGAAAGGUGAAAAGCACCCCGGAAGGGGAGUGAAAUAGAACCUGAAACCGUAUGCCUACAAGAAGUUAGAGCCCGUUAAUGGGUGAUAGCGUGCCUUUUGCAGAAUGAACCGGCGAGUUACGAUUGCAUGCGAGGUUAAGCUGAAGAAGCGGAGCCGUAGCGAAAGCGAGUCUGAAUAGGGCGAGUGAGUAUGUAGUCGUAGACCCGAAACCAUGUGACCUACCCAUGUCCAGGUUGAAGGUGUGGUAAAACGCACUGGAGGACCGAACCCACGUACGUUGAAAAGUGCGGGGAUGAGGUGUGGGUAGCGGAGAAAUUCCAAACGAACUUGGAGAUAGC